UCCAAUGAUGAGUGCUUUGGGG
This 22-nucleotide non-coding RNA is filed under the name Mus musculus (house mouse). Lineage: Eukaryota; Metazoa; Chordata; Mammalia; Rodentia; Muridae. The record is from RNAcentral.